RNAcentral lists this ribosomal RNA (387 nucleotides) under uncultured Sphingobacteriales bacterium. RNAcentral's name for it is "bacterial SSU rRNA". It matches the Rfam family "Bacterial small subunit ribosomal RNA", at positions 993 to 1382 of the family's 1533-position model. Lineage: Bacteria; Pseudomonadati; Bacteroidota; Sphingobacteriia; Sphingobacteriales. The record is from RNAcentral.
GACUGUAGGUGAAAGCUUUACAUCUCUUCGGAGCAUUUUACGAGGUGCUGCAUGGUUGUCGUCAGCUCGUGCCGUGAGGUGUCGGGUUAAGUCCCAUAACGAGCGCAACCCUACCUUAGUUGCCAUCAGGUAAUGCUGGGGACUCUAAAGGAACUGCCUACGCAAGUAGUGAGGAAGGCGGGGAUGACGUCAAAUCAGCACGGCCCUUACGUCCAGGGCUACACACGUGCUACAAUGGCCGAUACAGAGGGCAGCUACCUGGUGACAGGAUGCAAAUCUCCAAAGUCGGUCUCAGUUCGGAUCGGAGUCUGCAACCCGACUCCGUGAAGUUGGAUUCGCUAGUAAUCGCGCAUCAGCCAUGGCGCGGUGAAUACGUUCCCGGGCCUU